This is a non-coding RNA of Zootermopsis nevadensis, 698 nucleotides long. Lineage: Eukaryota; Metazoa; Arthropoda; Insecta; Blattodea; Termopsidae. The record is from RefSeq and is a predicted model, not a curated record.
CUGUUACAGCCAACAAUGUGUGCAUGGAUGCUGUCUGAGUCUAUCUUACUAUAAAAAUUUGUGAUUCCUCGUACUAUAAAAAUUUCUGAUUCCUCGUUGUCAAAAAAUGAAUAUCAACAAUGUCACCUUAUAUUUGUUUAUACACGGCAUUGUUGUUCCACAACAAUGCCGUGUACACCACAACAAUGCCGAGUAAACAAAUAACGCUUAGUACCAAGCCAGUCGCAUUAUCACUGCUCUACAAGCAGCACAUCGUCUCCGAACAGCGACAUUAGACUAUUUAAGAAAUGAAGAAAAGUGAAAGACGUUACCAUUACCAACAAGUAGCCAAGACAUCAUAGUGUUGAAUGAGAGGAUGAUAGUGAAUAAUGAACUGGAAAGGAUAUGGAAAGAAACUGUCAUUGCCUAAUUUGAGGUGCCAUCCUGGCAGUGGAUAAAAGGAUUGAGGAAAACCAGGAAAAACUUCAUUCAGAAUAGCUGGCCACUGGGCUCAGAUCCAAAGCUGGGACCUCCCAAAUAUGAAGCAGAAGUGCUGACCACGACAUUUCACAACUACACAUAACACAAUCAACAGGAAAUAUUGUCUUUUUUUAAUAUUUGGUUUUAUUACAAGUAGAUAAUAUAUACCACAAUGAAUGCUAGAUAGUAUUUCUGAAGUUUAUUUUGCUAUUAAUUUUAUCAUAAACAUGUUUUAUUUA